Molecule: ribosomal RNA, 342 nt
Filed under: uncultured bacterium
Lineage: Bacteria
Description: bacterial SSU rRNA
Rfam family: Bacterial small subunit ribosomal RNA
Source: RNAcentral
GGGCUAAAGGUGCGCGAGGCGGUUCUGGUAAGUCGAGAUGUGAAAUCCCCGGGCUUAACCUGGGAACUGCGCUUGAAACUGCAGAGCUAGAGUGCGGCAGAGGGAGGUGGAAUUCCAUGUGUAGCAGUGAAAUGCGUAGAGAUAUGGAAGAACAUCGAUGGCGAAGGCAACCUCCUGGGCUAGCACUGACGCUCAUGCACAAAAGCGUGGGGAGCAAACAGGAUUAGAUACCCUGGUAGUCCACGCCCUAAACUAUGUCAACUAGUUGUCGGGUCUUAAUGACUUGGAACUAGCUAACGCGUGAAGUUGACCGCCUGGGGAUACGGUCGCAAGAUUAAAACU